UACGAGUGGUGCAAGCGUUAUUCGGAAUUAUUGGGCGUAAAGGGUGCGUAGGCGGCAUAUUAAGUCAACUGUUAAAUUCCUCGGCCUAACCGAGGCUCUGCGGUAGAUACUGAUGUGCUUGAGGGUGGAAGAGAGAAGUGGAAUUCUCGGAGUAGCGGUAAAAUGCGUAGAUCUCGAGAGGAACACCAAUGGCGAAGGCAGCUACCUGGACCAGCACUGACACUGAAGCACGAAAGCGUGGGGAGCAAACAGG
RNAcentral lists this ribosomal RNA (253 nucleotides) under uncultured bacterium. RNAcentral describes it as "partial 16S ribosomal RNA". It matches the Rfam family "Bacterial small subunit ribosomal RNA", at positions 524 to 776 of the family's 1533-position model. The record is from RNAcentral.